RNAcentral lists this long non-coding RNA (439 nucleotides) under Rattus norvegicus (Norway rat). RNAcentral's name for it is "long non-coding RNA NONRATT012502". Lineage: Eukaryota; Metazoa; Chordata; Mammalia; Rodentia; Muridae. The record is from RNAcentral.
CCGCACACCUCCUGGUACUUUUCCCUAGGCCAAGCCUGAAACUUCCUCUCGCGGGAUGGUGCUUUUGAAAGUUGAGGACUUUCCUCCCCGUCGCCUUCAACUCCUUUUGGAAAGUCUCAUCACACAGCCUGCUGUCCCCAUGGGCCACUUCGCAAAGGGCACAAAGACCGGAGCUGAGAGCCCGGACUUGAACGGGAUACUCACCCCAACCUGUCACUUGAAAGGAAGGAUCUCAAGGGGGAGGAAGAAAGAAGAAACUCCAAGAAACAUUCCAGAUUCCCGAGUAAGCUGUCGGCCCACCUACCCAGUAGAAGUGCCUUAGUGCUCAGGGCGCUCUGUGGCGGCUGUCUUGAAGGCAGAGAGUGGGUGGAUGAAUAGCUAUUAUAAUUUGAAAAGCAUUUUGAAAUUCACAUGUUUAACUGGAGAAAAUUUUUAACGG